GGUAGCCAUGGCUACCUCAUGCUAAUGAAGGGAACCGCCCCUGAUUAGCAUGGCCCCUGCGCAAGGAUGACACGCACAAAUCGAGAAAUGGUUCAAUUUUUU
Non-coding RNA from Medicago truncatula (barrel medic), 102 nucleotides. The record is from Rfam. Lineage: Eukaryota; Viridiplantae; Streptophyta; Magnoliopsida; Fabales; Fabaceae.